RNAcentral lists this small RNA (53 nucleotides) under Sandarakinorhabdus cyanobacteriorum. RNAcentral describes it as "ffh sRNA". It matches the Rfam family "ffh sRNA". The record is from Rfam by way of RNAcentral. Lineage: Bacteria; Pseudomonadati; Pseudomonadota; Alphaproteobacteria; Sphingomonadales; Sphingosinicellaceae.
GCGUCCGAGGAUGCACGCCGGCCAGCGAGUUUUCGCCCGCCGGCGCGUUUCUG